Molecule: transfer RNA, 63 nt
Filed under: Lamprigera yunnana
Lineage: Eukaryota; Metazoa; Arthropoda; Insecta; Coleoptera; Lampyridae
Description: tRNA-Arg
Source: RNAcentral
UAAUAAGAAACAAUUAUGUAUUUAGUUUCGACCUAACCUCUGAUGUUAAAUCAUCCUUAUUUU